UCAGGUGUCACCAAGAGUUCCCUUGACCACUUCAUUGGGAAAUAGUCUCUUUUGCAACUAAAUAUCCUACUGAAGUGUUUGGGGGAACUCCCGGCGGCAUUUGA
Non-coding RNA from Malus domestica (apple), 104 nucleotides. RefSeq annotates it as microRNA MIR395i. The record is from RefSeq and is marked provisional. Lineage: Eukaryota; Viridiplantae; Streptophyta; Magnoliopsida; Rosales; Rosaceae.